GCUUUUUUGUCUGUUUUUUUUUCCUGUCACCUCCUUAUUUCACAGAUUCGCCACGCCAUUUCUGGUGGUAUCACUUAAUCUGCUGGCUAAUGAGCGCUGCUGGCAUAAUUUGCAUCCUUGUUGCUCAUGAACACUACACCGUGGAUGUCAUCAUUGCUUACUAUAUCACCACGCGGCUUUUCUGGUGGUAUCACUCAAUGGCUAAUGAAAAGACUUUAAAGGUCUCUUCGCAGACAAACUUUCUCUCUCGAGCCUGGUGGUAUCCAAUAUUUUAUUUCUUUGAGAAGAACGUGCAAGGCUCUGUUCCUUGUAGCUUUUCUUGGCCGAUAUCUUGGCCUCCCAGCUGCUUCAAGUCUUCAUGCAAAAAGUAUUCACGGGUUCAGAAGACAGGAGAGGACAAUGAAAAAUCUACCUGAAGAAAAGAAGGAAAGCAUCUGCUCUGUGGUCUUGGUUUUUUUCUUUUUCUUUUUUUACCAAAACAUUAAUGCUGUAACCAAAGUUCUUAAGAGGACUACACUGUAACUGAAGAAGUGGACCAAGCUUCUGUGCAAUUGAUUGGAAAGACAAUUAUAGACACACGUAUUGCCAUUUCAUAUGUUUUUCUAUCAUCAGGCUGUACAGACCUAUUCUACUCUUCAGUGCUCAUGGAAUGCACCACUGAUGGGAUUUAUUUUCUUUUUUUAUUAAAAGGAAAAAAAAAAUGGAGCAGGACUUUGCUUUACUAAUGAGAUAGAGGUGCCAAAGACCACAUUAACACUUUCAUUACUAACUAUCACUCAUGCACAGGAGCACCCAAAAAUCUCAUCUUCAGAGUUCUGGAGUGCAUAAGGGCAAAACCAUGCUAAAAUGUAAAGGCACGAUAUUGGCAUAUUGAGGUAUAUAUAAAAAAAAAAAAAUUGUGGGAAGUGGUUUGUUGCAUUAUUCUUGCUAAUGAAGGUAAGGCCUUUGCGUGACUGGUACAGCUGGAAGUGAGACUUGACUUUUUUUACACUCUGUGGGUAUGAAUAUCUUAAGGACCCUAAAAUACUACUUGCCACCAUUAUCUCCCAUAUAUUCUGCUAUAUACCAAUUUUUACUUUUUUUAUUAGUAAUUUUAUAUUUAAACUGUUGUGCUACCUGAUGACUUUGCAAAUUAGGAAUAGCUGCUAACAUCAGAGCUCAAGGAGCCUAAAAUUUUAUUUUUAAAGAGACACAGUUUCAAAGUCUAAAUCUUUAAUUGCAGUUUGGCCUUGUGUAUAUAGCUAUACAGUGCCUAUUGGUGUAUGUACAUGCAUAUACAGACAAAAGCACACACUGCUCUUCAGUAUGUGUUUAACUACACCAAACUACUUGCUGGAAAGAGUGAUCAUACAGUUCUUAAUUCAGGCAAAAGUCCUUACAGAUCUCACCUGCUUCAGGAAUGCAAGGUCAGGUCCAAAAUGGGGCUAUAUUUAAAAUAAACUUUUAAUUUUAGUAGCUAUCUCUUGCUGAAACUAUGUAGCAAGUUUGCUGGGGAGCCAUAGUUCUGCAUUGAAACGUUUUUUUUACUUGUUGGUACACAUUUCUGUGACUUAAAAAAAAAAAAAAACAAACCCAAAAAGUGCCAAGGUGAAUACCUUCAACAGUAGCAUUUCUUCAAUUAUUACCUAAAACCAUUUCAUAUUAAAUGACACUGUGGUAAAACUC
This is a long non-coding RNA of Calidris pugnax (ruff), 1665 nucleotides long. RefSeq lists it as uncharacterized. The transcript is spliced from 2 exons. The record is from RefSeq and is a predicted model, not a curated record. NCBI's taxonomy places the organism in Eukaryota, Metazoa, Chordata, Aves, Charadriiformes, Scolopacidae.